GGCGGACCGUGGCGGCUUGAGUGAAGCCGCGGCUACUGGAGCGUCUCCUGCAUCUGUCCCUGGCCUAAACCCGACGCUAGGCUGGAGGGAGCGACUGCGGGCCGGGCUGGCGGGGACUGGGGCCUCGUUGUGGUUCGUGGCGGGGCUGGGGCUGCUUUACGCUCUGAGGAUCCCUUUGAGGCUGUGUGAGAAUUUGGCAGCGGCGACUGUAUUUUUAAAUUCAUUGACACCCAAAUUCUAUGUGGCACUUACAGGGACAUCUUCACUGAUAUCAGGACUAAUAUUUAUAUUUGAAUGGUGGUACUUCCAUAAGCAUGGCACAUCUUUUAUUGAGCAAGUAUCUGUAAGCCAUUUGCAACCACUGAUGGGAGGAACAGAGAGCAGCAUUUCAGAACCAGGUUCUCCUUCGAGGAACAGAGAAAGUGAAACCAGCAGACAGAAUUUGUCAGGUUCUUUGGGAGGUGAUCAGGUCAUGAGGGCACUGCCCUCAGGGAUGUGAUUAAUGCCCUUAUGAGAGACCCCAGAGAGCUGCUUGCCACUUCUACCAUGGGAGGACACCAGAAGAAGGCGCCAUCUAUGAACCAGAAAGCAGACCCUCACCAGACACCAAAUCUGUUGGUACCUUGGUCAUAGACUUCCCAGCCUCUAGAACUGUUAAAAAUAAAUUUAUACUGUUUAUAAUCUA
RNAcentral lists this small RNA (685 nucleotides) under Pongo abelii (Sumatran orangutan). Its description in RNAcentral is "processed transcript". Lineage: Eukaryota; Metazoa; Chordata; Mammalia; Primates; Hominidae. The record is from RNAcentral.